Molecule: long non-coding RNA, 2210 nt
Filed under: Phaseolus vulgaris (common bean)
Lineage: Eukaryota; Viridiplantae; Streptophyta; Magnoliopsida; Fabales; Fabaceae
Description: long non-coding RNA (PVUL_LNC004237)
Source: RNAcentral
UUUCAUCUCACUCGUAGAGAUUAUUCAUGGAUCCAUUUUAAAAUCACAGUACCUUGAUUUCCUUUCAAUCAACAAUACUUCAAUUUUGUGUUCUUGUGUCCAACGGGUGUGGGCUCUCUGCUUCUGCUGGAUUGGGAUUGAGUUUUUCCAACAUAAAGAUGUGCAAUGCCAUUUUAAGUGUUUUGUUCCGCAACAUGCAUCAGUCGUAAAGGAUUUGGUAUGGAAAGGGUUGUGGGCGGCGAUGGUCUGGUGCAUUUGGGAGCAGAGAAAUCAAAUUAUUUUUAGGUAAGGGGUAGUAGAUGCGGAAUAGAUCUUCCAAAUGGCUCAAUUAAAAUCUUGGCUUUGGUUGAAAUACAGGGUUGGACCCUUUGACUACUCUUUCUCUGAUCGGCAUUUGAACCACUUUUUCUGCUUAAAAGCGUUGUGUAACGGGUAGAGGUUUUUUUUUUUUUUGUUUCUAGAAGGAGCUUUGUCGAAGUUGUUCUUUGUCCUUGUUAUUUCUAUUGCAGCUGGAGCAGUGCCCUCGAUCAAGCGUGUGGAGGGUUCUGCCCUAUAGGGGUGGUUUUUUUUCUACGGGUGUAGUUUGAUAUUCCGUUUAAGGGUUUUGUCUAAUCCUUUGGAAGAAAAGGAGGUUGUGGUUAUGAGGAAAGGGCUCCAGCAAGGCGGUGUAUGUGUCUGUUAGGAGGUGUUGUAGCAGGGAGUUAUGAGCACUUUAUCAUGUGUAUUGGUUGCUAGUAUGGGUGCAGGUGUGAGGGGCAAGAGUUCUUUCGGUGGUGCGAGGAUCCUUCACGGUCACAUCUUAUGUGAAAUGCGUUUAAUCCUCGGUUGGAUGGUGGAUAAAGAGAUGAGUUCCUGUUGUUUUUUUUGUGAAUGGUUGCUGGUUUUUAUGAACAUAGUUGUUGUUGCAGCUUUUAAUUGUUAAUUCUGUUGUAGGAGUGUCACAGAGGCAUAGUAGGUUGUCUACUAUGUUACAUUGUCUCUAGUCUUUUGUAUACGGAUUGGGUCAUCCCUGAAGUGUCCCCUUUUAUUCAUUCAUUAUUACUGAUACAAAAAAAAAACAAUACUUCAAUUUCAUUUUAAUCAUAUUGAUUACACAUGGAUCCAUCGUCUUCAAGAAGGCUCAUUAAGUAUGUUCCUACCAAAUACCAACAUCUGAUCCAAUAUCCAAUACUUAUAUUUACACACAAAUCUAAGAGAAGGAUUAGGGUAAGUCCAAAACUAUGUGACUAUAAGUGAUCAUGGUGCGUAUGAACUCCCUCAUCAACUGAUACUUUGGUUUAUGUGACUUAGAUCAUCAAUUAAUCUAGAGGAUCUAUGUUAACCUUAGGUUUUCAUACUUAAUGUACCAAUACACAAUACCUUGUACAUUAUCCCAAAAUGUAUGACAUUAAAUUCAUACAAGUUUUCAUCAUUCGCAUAUAACACAUAUCAAUCACACACAAUGCAUAUCAAUCACUACAUUAUUUAAGAUUUCUCAAAUAAAUUACAUAUACAUCUUUUAUUGAUGACAUUAAUCCAUAUAAUUUAGAAAAUGCACAAUUCAAUUGGACAUACAUAUUUACUUUUCAUUUUAGUAACGGUUAUAUUUUCUUUUUAAUAUUCAAAUAUUGACAUUAGAAAGUUGUAAUCAAUUACAAUUUUUAAAUUAAUAAAUUUGGCUGAACGAAUUGGAGACAGAAAACACCAAAAACUGCAGUUCAAAUCCACUUAACACCUGAAAUUUGGAUAAGCGGAUUUGAGGCCGAAAACAUCCUAAAAUUAAAGCUCAAAUUCACUUAGCGCAUAAAAAAAUUGCUUAGUAGAUUUGAGAUAUACAACUCAAUCUGCUUAGACUUGUGUUAAAUGUAUUUAACAAAUUUGACAAACUAAAAUCCCAAUUUGUACAUGAAAUAUAACAUUUUCAACCAUUCAAAACUAUUUAUUUGUAGUUAUAUUUUAAAACUAGUUCAAUCAACAUACAAGUAGUUUCUCUUAACUGAAAAAUUUAUCUUCAAAGCAAUCAUCUCAAGUCUAAGUCUGAAAUAUUAUAUCAAACUAUGGGGACCUAGAAAGUUAUUCAAAUAUAACCAAAUUUUAAUGUAUGGAAGUUGAGAGAAUUAUUUUUCGCAAUUAACCUCAUUAAGAUUGAUGACAAAAUUAUAGACAAAUAGAAAACCAUGAAUAUUUCAAUAAAAAAAUGAACUUACUUACUUUGAAAAUUUCAUUGGAUG